This 800-nucleotide ribosomal RNA is filed under the name uncultured bacterium. RNAcentral's name for it is "bacterial SSU rRNA". It matches the Rfam family "Bacterial small subunit ribosomal RNA", at positions 8 to 815 of the family's 1533-position model. The record is from RNAcentral.
AGAGUUUGAUCCUGGCUCAGGAUAAACGCUGGCGGCGCACAUAAGGCAUGCAAGUCGAACGAACUUAACUCAUUCUUUUAGUUUGAGAGCGGUUAGUGGCGGACUGGUGAGUAACACGUAAGCAACCUGCCUAUUAGAGGGGAAUAACAGUGAGAAAUCAUUGCUAAUACCGCAUAUGCUAACAGUAUCGCAUGAUACAGUUAGGAAAGGAGUAAUCCGCUAAUAGAUGGGCUUGCGCCUGAUUAGCUAGUUGGUGGGGCAAUGGCCUACCAAGGCGACGAUCAGUAGCCGGACUGAGAGGUUGAACGGCCACAUUGGGACUGAGAUACGGCCCAGACUCCUACGGGAGGCAGCAGUCGGGAAUAUUGCGCAAUGGAGGAAACUCUGACGCAGUGACGCCGCGUAUAGGAAGAAGGUUUUCGGAUUGUAAACUAUUGUCGUUAGGGAAGAUACAAGACAGUACCUAAGGAGGAAGCCCCGGCUAACUAUGUGCCAGCAGCCGCGGUAAUACAUAGGGGGCAAGCGUUAUCCGGAAUUAUUGGGCGUAAAGGGUGCGUAGACGGAGGAGCAAGUUGGUUGUGAAAUCCCUCGGCUUAACUGAGGAACUGCAACCAAAACUACUUCCCUUGAGUGUCGGAGAGGAAAGUGGAAUUCCUAGUGUAGCGGUGAAAUGCGUAGAUAUUAGGAGGAACACCAGUGGCGAAGGCGACUUUCUGGACGAUAACUGACGUUGAGGCACGAAAGUGUGGGGAGCAAACAGGAUUAGAUACCCUGGUAGUCCACACCGUAAACGAUGGAUA